UUGCCCCUGAAUCAAGGCCAGCAGUCUGCUGAAGUUGUUGGUUUCAAGCAUGUGCCUAAAGAAUUAUCUAUCUAUGGUCUGUUGGCCAUUUCAGAACUUUGGAAAUGUAAUGGUCAAUUCAUUAGAAAGAAACAGUA
Otolemur garnettii (small-eared galago) is the source of this 137-nucleotide small nucleolar RNA. Lineage: Eukaryota; Metazoa; Chordata; Mammalia; Primates; Galagidae. The record is from Ensembl.